GCCUACCUGGCUCAGUCAGUAGAGCAUGUGACUCUUAAUCUCAGGGUCGUGAGUUUAAGCCCCACAUUAGAUA
Molecule: transfer RNA, 73 nt
Filed under: Canis lupus familiaris (dog)
Lineage: Eukaryota; Metazoa; Chordata; Mammalia; Carnivora; Canidae
Also listed under: 1 other name
Rfam family: tRNA
About the family: Transfer RNA (tRNA) molecules are approximately 80 nucleotides in length. Their secondary structure includes four short double-helical elements and three loops (D, anti-codon, and T loops).
Source: Rfam by way of RNAcentral